Paramuricea clavata is the source of this 680-nucleotide non-coding RNA. The record is from the annotation of a GenBank genome assembly. NCBI's taxonomy places the organism in Eukaryota, Metazoa, Cnidaria, Anthozoa, Malacalcyonacea, Plexauridae.
ACCGGAAACACGUUCAGCGUUACUCGCGGAGCUUUUAUAAAUUCAUAUUAGCGAUUAUUAUAAAUAUAAAAUAGUGUUUAUAAGUUCUUAUAUACGAAUACAAACACCGCCUUGUAAUUUUUUUAAGCUUUUGGAAGGGUUGGGAUAAAACGCGGAUGCGGACGGACACGCGGACGGACGGACGGACGGACAAAAGGGAUAAAAUGCGGAUGCGGACAAAAAGGAUAAAAUGCGGAUGCGGACAAAAGGGAUAAAAUGCGGAUGCGGACAAAAGGGAUAAAAUGCGGAUGCGGACAAAAGGGAUAAAAUGCGGAUGCGGACAAAAGGGAUAAAAUGCGGAUGCGGACAAAAGGGAUAAAAUGCGGAUGCGGACAAAAAGGAUAAAAUGCGGAUGCGGACAAAAGGGAUAGAAUGCAGAUGCGGACAAAAGGGAUAAAAUGCGGAUGCGGACAAAAAGGAUAAAAUGCCCUAACAUAAUUCGUUAUUUCGGAGACACAAUUCAUAGACUUAGUACACGGUAAAUUCCAGCUGGAGUUUCAGCCGCUUGCCGAAAAUGCAUUGUAAUUUCAUUUUAGUUAGUAUAUGCAAGGUCAUAGAGAAUUGUGUUGGGGUUUUUCUCACCGUAGUAAAAUACCAUUACGGUGGUGUUGAUUUCUGGAUGAAAACAGCAUGAAUGCAAC